Molecule: ribosomal RNA, 400 nt
Filed under: uncultured bacterium
Lineage: Bacteria
Description: bacterial SSU rRNA
Rfam family: Bacterial small subunit ribosomal RNA
Source: RNAcentral
UAAGGAAUAUUGGACAAUGGUCGCAAGACUGAUCCAGCCAUGCCGCGUGCAGGAUGAAGGUGCUCUGCAUUGUAAACUGCUUUUAUUCGGGAAUAAACCCCUUCACGUGUGGAGGGCUGAAUGUACCGAAAGAAUAAGGGACGGCUAACUUCGUGCCAGCAGCCGCGGUAAUACGAAGGUCCCAAGCGUUAUCCGGAUUUAUUGGGUUUAAAGGGUGCGUAGGCGGGUUGUUAAGUCAGUGGUGAAAGCCUACAGCUUAACUGUAGAAUUGCCAUUGAUACUGACGAUCUUGAGUGUGGUUGAGGUGGGCGGAAUGUAUCAUGUAGCGGUGAAAUGCUUAGAUAUGAUACAGAACACCGAUUGCGAAGGCAGCUCACUAAGCCACUACUGACGCUGAGGC